Molecule: non-coding RNA, 54 nt
Organism: Salmo salar (Atlantic salmon)
Lineage: Eukaryota; Metazoa; Chordata; Actinopteri; Salmoniformes; Salmonidae
Source: Rfam
UGUAUUCACUACUGUAAGUUGCUCUGAAUAAGAGUGUCUGCUAAAUGAUGUAAA